GCGGCGGACGGGUGAGUAACACGUGGGUAACCUGCCCGUAAGACCGGGAUAACUCCGGGAAACCGGGGCUAAUACCGGAUAACACCGAAGACCGCAUGGUCUUCGGUUGAAAGGCGGCUUCGGCUGCCACUUACGGAUGGGCCCGCGGCGCAUUAGCUAGUUGGUGAGGUAACGGCUCACCAAGGCGACGAUGCGUAGCCGGCCUGAGAGGGUGACCGGCCACACUGGGACUGAGACACGGCCCAGACUCCUACGGGAGGCAGCAGUAGGGAAUCUUCCGCAAUGGACGAAAGUCUGACGGAGCGACGCCGCGUGAGCGAAGAAGGUCUUCGGAUCGUAAAGCUCUGUUGUUAGGGAAGAAGAAGUGCCGUUCGAACAGGGCGGCGCGGUGACGGUACCUAACGAGAAAGCCCCGGCUAACUACGUGCCAGCAGCCGCGGUAAUAC
RNAcentral lists this ribosomal RNA (446 nucleotides) under Geobacillus sp. J19C002X. RNAcentral describes it as "bacterial SSU rRNA". It matches the Rfam family "Bacterial small subunit ribosomal RNA", at positions 95 to 526 of the family's 1533-position model. The record is from RNAcentral. RNAcentral also lists the same sequence under 10 other names. Lineage: Bacteria; Bacillati; Bacillota; Bacilli; Caryophanales; Anoxybacillaceae.